RNAcentral lists this long non-coding RNA (43787 nucleotides) under Coffea arabica (coffee). Its description in RNAcentral is "long non-coding RNA (CARA_LNC006926)". Lineage: Eukaryota; Viridiplantae; Streptophyta; Magnoliopsida; Gentianales; Rubiaceae. The record is from RNAcentral.
GGUAUCAACGGUUGCUUCACUAACAUCUAAGGUAAAGACUAUUAUUCUAGAUUGAAGCAUGUAAGGAUGCAAGUAGUAAAUGUAAAUUUACAAUUUGACAAUAUAAGUUAGAGAUGUAAUCGAGCCGAGUCAAGUCUGAGUAUCAUCAUACUCGAGCUCGACUCGACUUUUAGGAAGGAUGCUCUCGUUUGAGCUCGAGCUCGAGUGAGUAGUAUUACUAGAACUCGAGCUCGAUGCAAUACUUGUAGAACUCAAACUCGACUCGCAUGGGGUCGAGUCAAAGCAAGCCUUAUCGAACUUGAGUUAAGAAUAUUUGAAGAUUUCAUUUUUCUUGACAAAUUUUAAGCUAAAAGACAUUAUCAUCCUUCAAAAAAAUUUCAUACAACCUAAAAUAUUUCAUAAAUUCAACCAUUCUUGUGGGCACAAGGGUAAUUUCAUAAUACUAAUAUAUUAAAAAAAUUAAAAUUUAAAAACUCGAUAAGGCUCGACAAACCUUCAAGUCUUGCUACUAAAUACUCAAACUUGACUCGUUUGGCCCUAUUGAGCCACUCGAACUCAACUCGAAAUCGGUCAACUUGAGUUUGAGUCAAAUUUUUAUUUGAGCUACUCGCAAGCAGAUUCGAUUACAACCCUAAUAUAGAUAAGCUACUUAUUUGUAUAUUGGGUUGAGCUUACAUUACUUGAUAGGUCUGAGGAAUUAUUUGUUUAGGAGAGGGUUGGGCGACUUUUGGGCGAGUUGGUGUUAGGUUUUUAUUUAUUUGAAUUAUACCCAACUCGUCCAAGCAUAAAUUGGAUUGAUGUUGGAUUGGAUCAUAUUGAUCAAUUCAAACCCAUAACCCAAAUAAGACCCAAUCAAUUAUUUCAUAUAUUUUGAUACAUAAUACUCUCUCAUACACAUUUACAUAUAUAAAAUGAUUUUUUCUUACACAUAAACAUAGUUUCACAUACAUAAAUACUAAAGCAUCUCCAACUCGAUUUUGGUCUAAUUAUGUCGGUUUGGAUAUGUUUUUUUGGUGUUAGUCUAAUGACUAGUUUGGGGGUUUAGGAUAGAAAAAAAAAGAAAAGAAUGUUAAGCCAUGAAAGAAAAGAAAAUAAGAGAUAUGAAGAAAAGAGAUUUAAUAUUGUUUGGGAGUUUUAAAAGGAAGUAGAAUGAUUUUAGAUAUACAUGUCAAUAAAAUUUCAUUCAAUAAUUUUGUGAGGAUAAAAUUGACAAUUUGAAAAAGUUUUGCAUGGUUCCAUCCGUUUUCAUUUGCUUUCUGCAUGUUUUUGGUUGGGAAAAAUUUUUUCACUAUGGCAGAACUUGGGAUCCUGCAAAAUCCGUGCGUUUCUUUUCUUUACCGUUUCACUCAAAAGUUUCAAACAUAAGAAAACUCAACUUUCUCUACCUUUCUUUUGGUUUCUGCUAAAAUCUCGCUCCCAAAGGCACCAUAAAACUUUAUUAUAACUUAUUGUUUUUUUUAGAAAAAAAUAGUGGUAUUUGUCUAAAAGACUCAAAAUAUCCUCUAGUUUCCAAAACCCAAUCUCCCAUCACCUAUCACUGACAACUUUUGCUAUCCACUAUCAGGGAUACGGGACCGCUCCUGAACGGUCCCCUCACAAAAUCGAACGUGAGGCGAGAAAUGGUCCAAGUCAGCAAGCGUUCAGGUGAGACCAAAAUGACGACGUUCUAUUAAUUGAGAAGGAAAAAAAAAUCUAAAAUUGUAUUUGGGGUAACGGCAAGUUACGGAACGGCAGCAACGUUGGUAAGUGUCCUCCCGCCCAAAAUGAAAGGUUGAAAAUGAAGGUUCCCACUUAGACCCUCUCCCAAACCCACGAAGCAGUUGCCACUAUUCGAAAUUCAUAACUAUCAAAAAACUAGGGCAAUAGACGAGAGGAGAAAUAAUAGAGAAAAAGAGGAGAUUGGCAAGAACAGUGUGACAUUGGAGUCAAACUGUGGAACUGUGGCAUUGUUGAAGGCUGAGCAGAGGAAGCAGAAGGAAGAAGUGGUGGUAGAAGGCCAAUUUUGUUGUGAAUCGGCUUUAGUAAAAGAAGAAGAAACGUGAACCUCAACUUCAAAGUUGAAGAGCGUGGGAUCCUGAGUAGCUAAAGACCACAAAUCGUAAAGGUAAAACAUGUGGCAACCUGGGAUGCAUACAGUAAUGUGUGUAAUUUAUACUUCAAAGUGGAAGGACCUUACUUGUGGUUGUUUUUGGUGUACACUAUGACGCUUUUGUGUAUAGUAAGUAAAAAAGUUCAGCGUGAUAGAAGUGUUAUGUAAAAUUGUAUGUGAUCAUCAAAACAGGAGAUGGGAAAGGAGGGGGAAAUCUUGCGGCACAACUGCUUGAUAAAAUGUGUGAAUGGGUUUGGGAUUUCGUAGGCGUAAAAAAUGGGUGUAGAUGCUGAAUUACAAAAUGCUAAGUAGAUAGUACAAUGCGUUGAGUGUAUCAUACACUGCGAAACUAAAUAGUGACAAGAUAAUUCAGUGCAAUGAAGGGUAAUAUAGCACGUUGGCUAAAAAUUAUGUUAUGUAGGAAAAAAGUGACAUGGAGAAACAUUGAUACGGUGUGUUAAAGUGUAAAACAUUAACAUAAGAAAGUCAAAACUUGUGAGAUGUAGUACAUAGUAUAAGGAAAAGAUCUAGAAAAUGACAAAGGGUAGAGGCGAAGGACAAAUUAGAAAUGAUAGUCGGAGAUUGGUAUGUUAUAUUUGAGAUUUCACUGGUGUAUGUCUAGUGUAUCAGUUGAUGUACAUGAACAUAAUGUUGGAUAAGUCUUACAUGUCGUGGACUAACAGGCACAGAGAAGCAAAGAGUAGAAAUGUUAGUGUAAAAUUGGUGUCUCAUUUUGUGAUUUUCAUUAGUGUAUCUGUUCUAUUAGUUCACGUGCAUGAAGACAAUGUUGGAUAAAUCUUACAUAUUGGUGGAUAACUGUUACAUGGUGUAGAUUAAUAGGUACAGGACAGAAAGAAAAGAGAAAUGUUAAGACUGAAAUUUGAAUGGCGUAUUUGGGACUUCAUUGAUGUAUGUUUAUUGUAUUAGUUGUUGUGCAUAAACAAAAUGUUGGAUAGAUGCUACAUGGUGUUGGAUAACUGUUACAUGGUGUGUAUUAGCAGAUACCAGGCAGAAAGAGAAGAGAAAUGUUAGAUUGAAAUUUGAAUGUCGUACGUGGGACUGCAUUGAUGUAUGUUUAUGGUAUUAGUUCUUGUGCAUGAACAAAGUGUUGGAUAAGGGUUACGUGGUGUUGGAUAAAUGUUACAUGGUGUGGAUUAGCAGGUACCGGCGAGAAAGAGAAAAGAAUUGUUAGAUUGAAAUUGGAAUGUCGUAUUUUGGACUGCAUUGAUGUAUGUUAGAUUGUAUUAUUUAUUGUGCAUGAACACAGUGUUGGAUAAAUGUUAUAUGGUGUGGAUUAACAAAUACAUAGAAGAAACAGAGUAGAAAUGUUAGCGUGUAACUCGUAUGUCGUAUUUGAGACUUCGGUUGUAUAUGUUUAUUGUAUUUGUUGUUAUGCAUGAACAGGAUGGCACGAAUAAGAAGCGAAAGACGGAACAAGAGUUUAGGCGAAAAUGAAGGAAUAGAGGCAGCGGGUACAAGUGAAGUUAGAGAACCAGUUCCACCGUUGAAUGCGUGGAUGAAGUUUAGGUAAUAUUGAUGUUUAUUGAAAAUAAUAAUCAUGAGUAGAAUGCACAGCUAAUUGGUUAAUAUUUAAUGUGUGUAGGAAGGAGUAUCAAAGUACCGUUCCAGCGAAAGGCAUUAAGAUAACAGAGGUAUGUAUUAAGAACUAAAUAAAGCAUUAAUUGUUUAUAGUUGUUGCACGGUAAAAGUAAAAAACACUAUUAGAAAAGGGUUGAUAUCAGAAAGCUCCCUUGAGGUUUCUUUUAAUCACACCUAGCACCCUCCAUGUUUUCGAAAUCACACUUAGCACCCCUGCAAUGACAAUUUUGGUGUCAUUGUCAGCCUCUCUAUUUCAAAAUGAUAGCAAAAAAAUGAAUUGUAGGAUAGAGACUUUAUUUUUGUUCCACCUGUACCCAUAGCCCAAAAAGAGUUUAUUUCCUAGUAGCAAAACAGGUCUAAAUCUUGUUUUUUAGUAUAUGUAAAUGAUCAUCUAAUAAAUAAUAGGAUAGCAUCAGGGUUGUAACACAAUUACAUAUCUUCAUACACCAUGGAGUAUGCUGAUAUGUAUCGUUUGGAGGGAUGCGAGGUAGGGAAGGGUGUUAGAUCAAUCAUCCUUGAAUAAUGUAACACGUUUUGAACAUUCUGUAAUUUUAUGUAAGUUUCUUGUAUAUCUUUACAAUAGAUUGCGUCUCUGCUAUUAAGGUUUACAAAUAAUUCACGUAGAGUUACACAUUAUUUAAAAAAUAUUACAUUGAUCCGAACGGGGAUAAAAAAUGUGAGUAUGGAUUCUCAUAAUAGCAGCAAUAGUUUCAGAAUGUGGUUGUAGUGGUAAAUAAACUUGUUCUUCCAUAUUUGGGAAAAUGCGGUCGUAUAAAUAGCUUUUUUCUGCAUCGUAGUCGAAUGGAGUUUGUAAGUUAUUAAUAUUGCAAUCCUCAGUGUCUAGAUUAUUGCUUGUAGAUGGUGUUUUGGAAACAUAUGGAUUGCGAUACCCCAUUAUGUAGUAGAAAUGGCUCGCUUAGGGUAUAUACUCAUGAAUUCCCAUCAUCUUUGAACUACGUUUAGAUUGUGUUAUUAUGUAGUUAGGAAUUGCGAUUUUGGCAAUGGCACUAUGUCCAUUGCCAAAAGUUAACAUUACUGGAAACGGCAUGACUAAUUAAUAUUAAGGAGGGGGAUAAGAACAGUUGUUAGAUCAAUCAUCCCUAAAUAGUGUAACAUUUUUUCAUCAUUUUGUAAUUUUGUAUAAACUUCUUGUACAUUCUUGCAACAGAAGUGUGAUAAGUUGUUAGUGUAGAUAUGGGUAUAGUAUGUAAUAAUCGUACUUGUGUUGGUAAGUUUUACAGAUAGUUCAAUUAGAGUUACACGUUGUACAAAGAAUAUUACAUAAUUCAGAACAGUUAUCAGCAGUUUGUCAAAAGAAUUUUUUGAUUUUUUUUAAUAUUUUUUGGUAUGCAGUUUUCUUCUUAGUUCUUGUAGUGGAGUAUUGGUCUCCGUAUACUGCAUUGAUUAUUUUUAAAUUAUGACCGUUCAACUUUGGUUAUGGUAUAACAAUACUUAUCCGAAUUUCUUUUUGCCUCUGAACGAGUUAAGGUUGUUUGUGGCAUGAGAUAGAUGUUGGUGAUUUUUGGAUAAUUUCUCACCUUUUGAUUAGGAGAACCUGUCACAUCCUACUGUCGGGAAUGCUAUGUGUUAUUUCAAAAACUUGGGGGAUGCUACAUGUGAUUAGAACAAACAUUAGGGGAGGUUUUUGAUAUUAAUCUGUGUUAGAAAAUGUUGAAUUACAUAUAACAUGAUUCACGAUUAUAUGCAUCCAAUGCAGUAUAAUAAAAUGGUUAAAGCAGCAUAUGAUAAGUUGAGCGAGGAAGAAGUCCAGAAUCGAAAAGAGAACUAUCGAAAAGAGAAAGAGGAGUACAAGAGAGAAAUGGCGCGUCUUGGAAAGACUAUACCGGGAAAACAGCAGAUUAAGGUAAGCACAAGGCAUGGAUGCUGAAAUAGGUUGUUACGUGAUAAUGUGUGUAUAUCUAACUAGUUUUUGUGCUUGAACUUAAUUAUAGAAUCCGAAGUACACCAUUCGUUAUUCACCAAAUCAGAUGGUUUGGUUAGCAUCGAACAUUGAUGAAACAAAAAAAUAGCAAAUCAGAGAUUUGGGGUUUGGAGGGCUGCUGGAAAUAAAGUGUCGCUCCAUUCCGAACGGCAUAGCAACCUGGCUGAUCGACAAUUUUAAUCCUACACUAAGUAGCUUUCAGCUACAUAGAGAUGGUGUGCUACCCUUAACAGCAAAAGACAUCAGUUUAAUCCUUGGAAUCCCAAAUGAUGGCCCCUUACCAGUUGAAGAUACUGAUAGCAGUGAGGGUGGAGAUUCUGGGCCAAGUCGCUGAACAUACAAAUGGAAAGAGCUGGCCGAAGAGUUAGUAAGCAUGAGCGGUGGGGACGAGUUCAAGCGACUAUUUGUUGCAUUUGCUUGUGGAUGUCUAUUAGCUCCAACUACACGGGCUGAGCAUAAAAUUCGGCUAUGGGAUUGCACGAAGGUGGUUACUGAGGUGCCCUCAUUAAACUGGGCAGAAUACGUUAGAAAUGUACUAUGCAAUAGGAUAUUAGAAGUACAGAAGAAAAGCGAAAAGCAGCACCAAUAUGUUGGGGGUUGCAUGUUUGUCCUACUGGUAAGUUUAGUUAUGUGAUAUUGAAAGUUAGUAAGUGAUCUAAGUAGUAGGGGAUGCAACGAAAAGAAAUUUUAAGUAGGCACAUGAAGGUUGUUUACGCAUAGUACUUGAAUUGCAGGUGAUAUAAUUGAUGUGUCAAUGUCUAAGUAUAUUGCAGGUGCAUUACCUUGAUCGAGUGACAAUACUGAAGCACAGAGUGGCUCGAGUUACACCAAGAGUAAAGGCAUGGACAGAUGCUUUAAUUUCAGAACGGGAUGCAUUGGAGAUCGAUAAUCUCGGAGGUUAUGGAAAAGGAAAACUAGUAAGAGCGAUAACUUUUUUUUGAUGGAUUUUAACUUACUAGUUUGUAUGUAUAGGCCACACAUACCAUGUACUUAUGAAGUGAUGGUUUGAUUUUGUUUUCGUAGAUUGGGACGCAUGAAGAAGAAGAGGCUGAAUCUGGUGCACAGAUAAAUGAACUACCCCCUGAACUAGUUGGAAUAAUGAUAGACAGCGGGCAUCAUGAUAUCGCAGUAAGCUGCCUAACUGUUAAAACUGAUACUUCAUUAUGCGCUAUUGUUGCUUAAGUUAAAGUUAUACAUUUUUUAUAAUUUGAACAAUCAUUCGUAAGCAGCCACAGCUACGUAACUUAGGAAAGUAAUGUUGUCAAAUACAAUCAUUAAGUGUUGACGUACAGCAUACAAUCAUUUUUCGUUUGCUAUGCUUGACAUACAAAAUCAGGAAAGUUAGUUGUAAAUCGACAAUGGGACAAAGAAGUAGUUAUGCUUUGUAAAAAGGUGGGAAGAUUUUUCGAACGCCGAUCACAAAUAACACUAGUGCUCAGCUAUAAUCUAGCUACAUUUGAAACGUAGUGUGCUCAUGUCGUUUGUUCCAUAUUUUAUGACAGAAACGAGAGAGAAAAAAAAUUCUCGAAUAGUAUUCAUGCAAAAUACAAAGUUAAUUGUAUACUUCAUGCAAUUCGUGUGCUAAAUACAGCUUAGUCAUUUUCAUGUAAGUUUUCUUGAAAAAUAUUUCACCACCUGAAAGCGAACAGGCAGAUUUCAUGAGGUCCAUGAGUAAAUAAUACAGAUCAAUGCAUAAUAUGAUGAAUUCAUCUGUUCAGAUUAAGUCGAAACCAUAAGAUUCAUUGUGGUUUGUUAAUGUAUAAGCAGGUUGAGCUUUCAGAAGUGUACAGUAUGACAGUGAGUUGCCAAAAAAGGAUAUUAAAUAUUGCAGAAUUGCUGUGUUCUCAUCCUAGGGCCAAAACAGCAACAACAGAGGUCGUUUCAAACGAAAAGCAGAAACAGAGGAUGUCUGAUUCAGAGCAAAUACAUCUUGAUAUGGACAGUGAAGAUCAUUCGGAAUAUCAAUCCGCAAAAGCAGGAAAGGACUCCAAUGCUGACGAUGACGGUGAUAGUGAAAAAGAACAAGAUGCAGGCGGUAAUGAUGAUGACAUUGGGACCUCAACCAGAGCAAUAGAUGAGACUGAACCAACAAAUCGACAUUCGAUGGGGCAGACGACAGUUGGAAAAGAGCAAAGUGGGAGAACCACUGAUGGGAAGGAGGCAGAAAAUGUUGGCAACACAAGUGAUGGGAAGGACAUUUCAGACAGUGUGUACAAGUCAAAUGAUACCCCAACAAUCAUCCAAGAUGACUCAACAGGUCCCUUUCGAAUUGAGCAUCCUUUGGAUCUGCCACACACACCGAGAAGGUUGCGGUCUUAUAGUCGCAAAAGGAAAGGUUAGUGAACAAAAAAACAGUGUCUUGAAUUUGAUGUACAAGUACUCACAAAUUAAAUUUAUUAUGUUGUGUUCAGAAAAUAGAAACCUUGAUAGUAUUUAGUCUGAAUUAAUAGUUACAUUUGAGUUUUGCAUAUGAAUUGAAGAAUUCUUAACUGAUCGGUUAAACGUUAUUGCAAUGUGCUGCCCCAUUAAAUUUUUGUAUAAUAUGUAUACCUAAUCAUUAGGGUUAAUAUCAGAAACCUCCCUUGAGCUUUCUUCUAAUCACACCUAGCACCCCUCAUAUUUUCGAAAUCACACUUAGCACCCCUGGAAUGACAACUUUGGUAUCAUUGUCAACCCCUCAAUAUUUUUGUUCCACUUUUACCCUCAUUGUGAACUCUAUUUAUGUAACUCACAUCCCUUCAACUUUAGUAACACUACAAUAUCGUGCCUGCACAGUGUAACAUGUUUUGAACAUUUUGUAAUUUUAUAUAAGUUUCUUGUACAUCUUUAUAACAGAUUGCAUUUCUGUUAUUAAGUUUUACAAAUAAUUCACAUAGAGUUAUACAUUGUUUAAAAAAUGUUACAUUGAUCUGAAUGAAGAUAAAAAAAAAUGUGAAUAUGGAUUGUCAAAAUGGCAGCAAUAGUUUCAAUAUGUGGUUGUAGUUGUAAAUAAACUUGCUCUUUCAUUUUUGUGAAAAUGAGGUAGUAUAAAUAACUUUUUAUGCAUCCUAGUUGAAUGGAGUUUGUAAGUUAUUAAUAUUGCGAUAUCCUAUUGUCAAGUAGAAAUGGCUUGCUGAUACUAUAUACUCAUGAAUUUCCAUCAUUUUUGAAUUACUUUUAGAUUGUGUUUUAUUCACUUAGGAAUUGCAAUUUUAGCAAUGGUACUAUGUCCAUUGCCAAAAGUUAACGUCACUGGAAACUCCAUGACUAUUUAAUAUUAGAGAGUGGGAUAGGAACAGUUGUUAGAUCAACCAUCCCUAAAUAGUGUAACAUUUGUUGAAUAUUUUAUAAUUUUAUGUAAACUUCUUGUACACCAUUACAAUAGAAGUGUGAUAAGUUGUUAGUAUACAUAUGGGUCCAAUAUGUAAUAAUCGUAUUUGUGUUAAUAAGUUUUAUAAAUAGUUCAAUUAGAGUUACACUUUCUACAAAAAAUAUUACAUAAUUACAGAAUAGUUUUACAUAAUUUAGAAAAAACCUCAAGGGAGGCUUUCGAAAUUAACUCUACAUAAAUAGAGUUCACAAGGAGGGUAAAAGUGGAACAAAAAUAUUGAGGGGUUGACAAUGAUACCAAAGUUGUCAUUCCAGGGGUACUAAGUGUGAUUUCGAAAACAUGAGGGGUGCUAGGUGUGAUUAGAAGAAACCUCAAGGUAGGUUUCUGAUAUUAACCCCUAAUCAUUAUUCUGUCAGUGUGAACUACAUAACAUUUUGAUUUUCUGAUGUAUUGAUAUCUGCAGCAGUUGUUGAAGAUGAGAAUGAGCACAGGCCAGCUCGGGCAACAAUCCUAAGCAGCAUGCUACGGUCAGCCGAGUACGUUCUGCCUUCGCACGUGACAAUCAGCAUUUACGACAAAAGGAUCGCUGCAUUCGCGUGGGAGGUACAUAAGAAUCCCAAGUAUGGUUCCUAUAUAUUUAUCAUACGAUUAUGAAGUUAUAAUACAGGCACUUAAGGAUUUAUUGGUAUCACUAUUUGUUAAAUGCAUCCCUCCAGUCCAUUCGUAAUCAAUUCAUGCAUUUUUAUGCUCUUCGAAUUGUAAUUCAAUUUAGGCUAAAAUGGUAUCAAUUGUAACCAUAAGAUUGUAACAUUUCUCUCGAGUUACAUUUCUUGAACAUCCUUUUUGUAAUGAAGAACUAGCAUAAGGUAGUAAAAUUGAUGAAUAUUAGGGAAUGCAUGGUUUCUUAGCGCUAGUAUUUGUUGGCUGAAGUUGAAUGUAACUUUAUGAUAAAGCAUUUACUUUUUUGUAGAACAUGGUUGCUAACAACUGUCAAUUUUAAAAGUAACUCUUUGUCUGACUUAAUGACAGGGAGACACUCAUUCAGAUGUUCCAACUUUCUCUAACAUGAGAUGACCUCAGGACUCUUUGUGAUGGCAUGCAUGUCUCGACUCGGGUUAGGCAUAUUUUUUCAGCCCGAGAAAUAAUACAUUGUGUUGGUUUGGUAAGGUAAAGCGAUACGUUUUCCAAAUGGCAGUAACUAAACCCAUUCUGUUACUUGGCUGUAACUGUACGCAGGUCAUGGACAUAUUUGCCAGGCAUAUAAACUGGGGUGGGGAGGCUAGUACAACCAGUAGAGUCAAGCGCUAUAUUGUCGAGCCUAUAGCAAUUGUAAGUAUUAAAAUUGUUGUUAGAUAAUGACUACCAUUCAAUAAAAUAUUAUCAAAGUUUUGCACAAAUGCAUGUACCAAUCUAUUACCCGAGUCAGUGAAAUUCACCCUAAACAUCUAUAUCCCCUUGUACUGAUUGCUAACAGGAUGGCAUUUUGAAUCUUCGAAAAUUCGAAACACAACCCGAUGACAUCCUAACUACUAAGCUUAUGAAGUUGUUCAAGAUCCGAGGGCCUGAUAAAGCGGCUGAUCCAUCUAGGUGUCAGUUGGUAUGGAUAUAACCUUAUCGUAACUAUUGAUGAGACAUGCUAUAUAUUGGCAAGUUAUUGGUAAACUACUCUAUUAUGCUCGUGCUGAUGAAAUUUUUUUUUAUGCUGCAGAUUCUUGUUCCUGUUCUCGUAGACAGCUGCUGGUUUGUGUACUCCUUCCAUGUCUCACAACGCAUAGUGCAUCUGCUAGACCCUGACCCACAACAAGCAAAGAGCAAAGAUAUUACAGUUCUAAAGCGCUUGGUAUGAGUGUUUAUAGGAGUUGUUCAUUAAUUUUUAUCAUACAAAUAGUUACUUGACUCUGUUUCAUGCAGCAACGUGCCCUCGGACUGAUAAUGGCAGCUAAAUUUGGGAUGGAACUUGACUUUGCAACUUUCAAACUCUUAGUUGCUGAUGUACCUCAUGUGUCACCCGAUCGCAUGUAAAAUAUGGGAUCUUUCAAUACUACCCCGAUACCUUACUAUUGCAAAUACUGUAUUACAAUCACUUUAGUAUAUUGUCCAUAUUUCUGAGUCACAAUAUGUUGAUCUGUGCAGGUUCGAUAGUGGAGUUUUCACGAUGACCUUUCUUGAACACUGGAGUGGAAGAUUGGCUGUGCGAAUUACUGAGGUGUGAUCAUAUUCUAUAACUAUCUGUUUUUGUACUUGUGGCAAUAAAACGGGUAAUAAAUACCUCAAUCCCCGGAGUUUACUAAUACAAGAGGUGAAAUUUUGCAGGAAAAUGUUGCGAAAUAUCGAAUUAUGUACACCGCGCGGCUUUGUAGUUCGGAGCAUAAUACAAAGUUUCAGGACACUAUUGUCGCCACGGUUGGGAGUAAACAGUAAAAGGGAAAAAGAUCAUCAUAGUUAAGGAUGUAAAUUCAGGACUCUUUUUGUAUAGUAGCAAAGGAUGUUUUUAAACAGUUGUUUUUCGACCUGGCCAUAUUAGCGACGAAAUGUGCGUCUUUUUGUAACAUACUGUUUAUUUAUCGGUUUUGGCCAUAAAAUGUGAUUUUAAGUCAUGUAUUUUGCGUUCUUUGAGUUGCAGUUGUCAGUAAUAACAUUAGCCGAACAUGUAUUUGCAAGUAUAUUUUCCGUAACUCUAUGCCAACUACUUGUAAUACAGGCACUAUGAAGAGUAUUGACAAUGAAGACCCAUGGCACCAAUGCCAUUUAGAUUGUGGUACGAUGAAAAGUAUGGACAAUGAAAAGUAUGGACAAUGAAGAUCAAUUACUUGUCAGUAAAAAAAUAUAGGCAUUAAUGACAUGCCCUAUUAAGAGGGCACAGUGUUACACACCAUUCACUUGACCAUAGUUACUUUCAAUCAAGUAAGUUUUGUGCAAAAUGUACGGAGUGUAACUCUGUAUGCACAUACAGGAACUUACCUUCAACAAUGUGUAACUGUAGAACAAACGCUUUAUUGUACCGGUUUUUUUUCGUUAUGCAAGUAGAUGUAACUUGUCAGUAAAUAAUUGACAUGUGAACAAGUCAGUAAAUAAUGCAACGUUGCGUUUGUCCUACAGAUGUUGUCCAGGUAUGCAAAUUAGUUACAUUUUCAAAGCAUUAAGAUGCAUCCUUAAAGUCCAAACUUGGUGGGAAGGACGCUGCCCUUCCAAAUCUCCCUAUUAUAUGGACCAAAGACACCAUUUAUUGUCACUAAUAACCUCCCUUGUACAAGUAUUUUUAUAAAAACAAAUCGUAACUAUAUGCUAAGAACUUGUAAUACCGACCACAGGCAUUAAAGUUUGGAGGUUUUAUUAACUGUAUCCAUUUAUUGUCACUAACUACCACACUUGCUCAAACGUAACACUUCUUUGAACAAGGUGUAAAGCCACGUCAACUACUUGUGCAUCAAAUAUUAAAUAUGGGGUCAAGAUGAUAAAGUAUGUGAUGAUCCAAUGUACAGGUAAGGCAUAAAGCAUGAAAAAAUUCUUGUUUUUAACAAAUACUGCAUGAAAGAACUUUAAACACAUAUAAACGGUAUACGGAAGGUCGGAACCCUCAACCAACGCACAUUACCUGCUGAGUUUUUGUUAAGUUCAUUUCAUGAUAAAAGCUGAAAUUGUCCGUAAUUGUUUAGUAACUCUCCGUAACACUCAUCAAACGUCUCGAUACUAUCUCUUGUACGCCUUGUACUCAAAGUUGGUGUACAGGUCAUAUGGACAUGAUUCCCAAGAAAGGUUGUUACUCUAUAGAUUUCAAUCCCGUCACCUACUUCCUGGCAUGCCUAUUUCAUAGGUGCAGCAAUGCAAAAUUAAGGACAUACACAGGAAAGGUUCCAAGUGCAAUCGUUGCUGAAGGUGUGUGCAUUUUGCAUACUCCAUAAUUCUGUUUGCACAUGGUGUAACUCCCUUUCGACAACGUGUAAUUAUAGUACAAAAUUAGAAGAGUUCCACACAUUUUGUUAUAAAAUGUGGUAUAAGAUGAUAUCUAAACUGGACUAAUUUUGUUUGGCCGAAUAUUAGCCAUGAAGAGCUCGCAAAUGUGUCGUUUGAUGUCUGAGAUGCUUUUGUGUUAGAUCCCAGUCAACAUGUUACUUAUUUCAUACUUGCUAAUUUCUUUGCAGCAUCUUUGCUAGUUUAUAUCGUCCAGGAAAAUAUAUUUUUCACCCCCAAUGUUUAAGGUGUUAACCAAUUUCAUCCCUAAAGUUUCAUGCACAACACAUUUUAUCCUUGUAAUUUUAUAAUUUUGAUUAAUUUCAUCCUUCAAGUUCAUAAAUACACAUUUCAUCCUCAUAAUUUCCUAAAUUUGGCAAAUUAAGGACAAUUGGUAGAAUGUCAAUCAAUUUGAAUGGGAUAGCGUCAAUUGAUCACAACAUGGCCAUUAGUAAAAAAAAAUUGGAUUAACUAAAAUCUCAAAAAUCUUUUAUUUAUUCACUUUCUCAUUUUAGUACAAAAAAGACUAAGAAAUUUUUAGCCACCAUUACUUUCUUCUUAAUCACAAUGAGGUACACGAAAAUAUGAGAAAAAUAUUAAUGCAAAGAAUGAAUGGUUUGGAUUGUCAUUUAUUUGCAAGAUUUUGUUUUGUUGUAUCAUAUACGUGUUUUUCAACCAUCUAUUUAUCUUUCAAUCUAUUUAUUUAGUCUCAAAUAUAUCAUAUCACCACUUAAAGGGAAAAAAAGAUAUAGUCUUGUAUAAAAAAACACUUGUUGUUAUUUCUAUAAUUUAAUCAAUAAUUGAAUUAAGUAUUAAUAAUACCAUCAUGAAUGGGACAUGUGAUGAUAUUAUGUCUAAAAUGGUUAACAAUCCUUUCAUUGGUAGGAAUUAUAAAAUUAUGAUGAUGAAAUAUGUUCUACAUAAAUUUUAGGGACAAAAUUGUUCAUAAUUACAAAAUUAUGAGGAUGAAAUGUGUUUUGUGUGAAAAUUUAGGGACGAAAUUAUUGAACAUCUUAAACAUUGGGGGAUGAAAAGUGUAUUUUUUCCUAUAUCGUCUCUUCCCACAUACCUAAAUCUGAAGCUUUGUGACUUAUCCCGUUCAACACACAUUACCAUUACAUCAUCCCUUAUUACAAACAUCAAUUCCUAACAUCUGCUCCAAGGGAGGUUUACAUCUUUCAAAUGUCUUCAUCUAGCAAUACUGGAGGCGGAUCUACUGACCUAAGGUACCAAUAUCGCUACUGUAGUUGUGGAAGAAGGGCAGCCCUGAAGAUCGUCGAGUCACAGAAACCAACGAAGGGGUUGUUGUACUUCGUGUGUGAAACAAAAGCAUAUACUUUCUUUGCUUGGUGCCGUCCAAUAGGGAGGGAUGACGAGCAAAUUCAGACUAACUACUGUCCCACCUCACCUAAUCGACAGGCUAUAAGCAGAGAAAGCUCCUUCGACAGUCCCGGAAGAGUGUUCCAUGAUUCAACCUCGUUCUCGCACCAUAUGCACGGCAUCGAACACGAUAUUCGACAAAUGAAAACCUUCAUGAGGAUUUCGGUAGCGGUCGCCCUUCUGUUGCUACUAAUAGCAAUUUUUCGCUGACUCUGUGGUAUAAGAUUGGACCCGUAUUCGCGAGCGGUUUGGCGGAUAGUUUUACAUUACUUGUAUGGUAUUAACGCAAAGUAGGUGCUUCUAACAACUGUUGGCUUCUCAUUUUGUCAGUUGGUGAGCAAGCUGUAGUAAACCAUAGAUGCCGUGUACUAAUUCAAUAAUUUAUCUUAUAUAACCUUGCAAGUUGUCGUGAAAAAUAAUGCAACUGUGUAUGGACAUAGUGAAAUUUAACUUCAACGAUGUGUAACCCUGUAUCCACGUGACCCACGAUAUUGGCGUACAGGUUAUUUCACGAUAAACGCUGCAAAAUUUGUGUUAUUGUCUGUAACUGAUUACCCACGUGACGUAACACUUAUCAACAGUGGCGGUACUACAAAUUUCACGCUUUGUACCUAAAUAUUCUGAAUUGACAUAGUUUAGGCGCAGCAGGUGUUGUAGCUGUGCAAGUGGUAACCAAACAAGGUUUUAUACCUAAAAAUAAUAUUAUUGUUGAUCUCAUCGAGUCACAGGGUCAAUGUUGAUAAUGCACCUUUGUGUCUAAAACGAUAACACCGUAAAAGUCAAUUUUUUUACUAAAUAACAUAAAAAGAAAUAAUACACUAUUAUUCCGGUUGAGGAGGUACGAAUCGCACACAGAGAUAGUAAAUUUAGGUCAUAAACUUUGCAAGGCCAUAGAGUGUUACACAUCUGACUUGGGCCAAAAAAAUGUUGUCGAAGGUUUGUAACUUACCUGUAGACUGUAACUGUGUAUGCACAUAGUGAAACGUAAGGUCACUGAUAUGUAACCCUGUAUGCACGUGACCCUUAAUGUUGGUGUACAGGUCAUUCCAUGAUAAAAGCUGUCAAAUUUAUUUUAUUGUCCAAAAUGAAUCAUGACAUAGUUCACCAGCUGCAUGUGACUCAACAGCUUCCACUGUCGUGACGAAAUUGUUGGUCUGAAAUACGUUGGCCCUUGAUGUUUUAGGACAUUGUGAGGGUCAUGCGGACUAUUAAAGGGCGCGGUUGUAGUUUUAUAUCCAACAACAACAAAAGUUUGUUCAUCCCCUUUCAUUAUCGUUUACACUUUCCAUUGUAAUCAACUUCACACAUCCCAUUUCAUACUACUGAAGGGUGGCAAUGAACCCGAAUAUAAAAUUUAUUAUUAGUAGUCUUCCACCCCUCUCAAAGUUGGUGUACAGGACCAGAACAAGAAGACAGCUGCAAAAUUUAUUUUAUUGUCUGAAUUGAUUUGAAAUAGUUCACUAGCAGCAUGUGACCCAUCAUGAUGCUUCCACAUUUGGGACGACAUUGCAGUCCUGUAAACGAUUAGAAACAGCACGUAACACGUAUAUUCACUGUCGGUACUACAAAUCUGAAGCUUUGUAUGUAACGAAACUUAUCUGAUAUGGUUCAAGCACUGCAUGUGAGUGUACAUUCUCUUCUCCCGUGAUAUACUAGUUGGCUUCAUAUGCAAAAAUGUCGAUCUCACUAUUUUAAUGAGAUAUUCGAGAAGGCCUCGCAAGUGCAAUGUUUUGGGGUUCGAAACAAUCAUUGUAACUAUUCUCAAUAGACACUUAAUAAAGUGUCUAAGAAAUUUAAUGUGUCAGUGGGAGGAAUUAUCGUUUCUGUCAAGGGCAAUAGCACAAACAAAAGAAUAUAAAAGUUUCAUCGAAUAUUAACUAGUUGUAUUAUCACUAGUUGUAAUAUCGGGGAAUAUCUAGUUGGAACAUUAUUCAGUUUUAAAUAGAGCAGACGAAAAGUUGCUGAUUGCAAAUUCAUUAGUUAUAAUGAAUUGUAACAUACACUCAACUGGUUGUAAUUCCAUCCGUACAUAGUGAAACGUACAAGCCACUGAUGUGUAACUCUUUAUCCACGUGACCCUUAAUAUUGGUGUACAGGUCAUUUCAUGACAAAAGCUGCAUAAUUUGUUUUAUUGUCUGAACAGAUGUGACACAGUUCAAUGCCAUGCAUCGAACUCUACAGCUUCCACUGCCAUGACGAAAUUAUUUGCCCUGGAAUGCAUUAUCCAGUGAUAUUUUAGCACAUUGUUCGGGUCCGGCGGACUAUAAAAGGGAGCGGGUGCAGUAGUAUAUCCCUCAACAACAAAAUUUUUUUCGUCAACCUUUCAUUACUGCACAAACAUUUUUCACUUUAAAUUACUUCACAUUUCCCAUAUCAUUCUACUGAAGGGUGGCAAUGAACGCGUGCCUGAAAUUUAUUAUUAGUAUUCUUCAACCCUCCUCUAACUUCAAUUGUAGUGUCAUCAAUAGAGGGUUCACACAGCAAUCAAGUUCUUGGGUGCCAAAUAGCAGCCAGUAGGUUGUAUGAUGUUCGAGAAGAUCUCGCUAAUUUAAGGAGAUGUUCGAGAAGGCCUCGCUACAUCAAUUGUUUUGGGGUUCGAAUCGACCAUCUUUAUGUUCUCAUUAGACACUUACUAAAGUGUCUAAGAAAUUAAAAGUGUUGGGGGGAGGACUUGUUGUUUGUGCCAAGCGCAAUUGCACAAACAAGAGAAGAGGAAAGGUUCAUCAAAUAUUAACUAGUACUACAAUCACUAGUUGUAAUAUCAGGAAAUUUCUAGUUGUAAUAUCACUAGUUUUAACUAGAUAAGAUGAAAAACUGCCGAUUGCAAAUUCAUUAGUUGUAAUGUAUUGUAACAUAUUUAUAACUAGUUGUAACUCAAAAUGGUACAUGGCGUAAUCAAAAUUUGUUGCAUUUUAAAUAUUAGUUACCCUACUUUCAAACUACUUGUCCCAACGAAGUAUCAUGUUUUUCUGCGAAACUGUUACUUAUUAUGUGGUCACGUGGAACCAAGUCGAGCCGCCAAUUGUAAGUUCAUUUCUGUACUGAAGGAGUACUACCUAUUGAAGUGCCUGUAAUACUAUCUGUAAUACUUAUCAUUAAUACAAUUAUAAACAAAUUGUCUAAGUUUUAACAUACAAGCAAAUGACAAGGUGCCUGUACAAGCACAUCAAUAAGCGGUAACACCUUAUUAAUUUCUUGUAACGUAUAUAUGCUGGUUGUAACUUCUUGUUACACUUGAAAAGUAAGGUGACCGACCUAUAACUGGGUAUUCACGACCCAAUUGUUGUUGGAGGACAGGUCAUGAUCCAAUCGAAUUAUACUCAUUAUAAUCUCUACUCAAACAAAUUGCUUACCAUAUUUCGAUAUUAAUCAUGCCUGUUAAACAGUCUUAACUAGUGGUAACGUAACAGUAACAUAUCCCUAACUGGUUGUAACCCAUUGUGUACUGUUCGUUCUUCCUUUUUGUUGCAUUGUAAAACUUCAUUUUAACGUUACAAAUUAGUUCUCCAAUGAAUCAUUUUCUUAUGCGCACCUAUUACCAACAUGUGGUCGUGACCUGACUUGACCAUAAUUUAAUUAACCUAAAAACUUGUAAUACCAAUAGCUGUGCCUGUGAUAUAUCAUGUCAAUGGUGCACUAAAUUCGUCAAGCGAUGCAAAACAAAUGGCCUAAAUGAUAAUGUUUUUAUAAAAAUAGCCCAAUAAUAAUUCCAAUUUAUCAUCAUAACAAAAUCAAGACAAUUUAUACUUUAGAUUGUGUUAUCUUAUACAUAGUACCUUUGGCGGUACGAUCUAAGCCAAUAAAUAUGUUAUUAAGGUAUGCAAAUGAAUGUAGUACAAUGGUAUACAUAUCACGACAAUCAUUCAACUGUUAUGGUCAAUUUAGUGAAAAAUAUCCGAACACAAUAAACACGUUCAAUUCUAUUGUAAAAUUGUUACUUCAAUUUUCUGCCAACUUUAUAAUUAACUACAAUUUUAUACAACCCAAUACAAACUAUUGAUGACUAUUAACACUAGAUGCGAUUACAAUUGUAAUUCACUUGUCUAAAUUUGAAAAGAGUGAAACAUCAAUGGUGCCUGUAUAACCUCGUCAAUAAGUUGUAACAGCUUAUUAACUGCUUGUAACGUACAUAUGCAGCAUUCUCAGGUUGGGACAACCACUUAAUGUCUCGUUCAAAAUGUAUAGUUACACAUCAUUCAUCAACCUCAUUCUCGGGAGAGGCGACAUCAACGCGUAGUUGCAAUCCCUGUGUGUUAUUUCUUCCCUGAAAUGCGUAACGAUGGCAAAUCAGCAAAUAUUAUUAAUAAAAUAUACGAUGUCCAAGUCUCCAAUUAAUAACAUUACAUAAAUAUGUGCUGUAACGAUAAAAGUUAGGUGAUGGUGCAAAUACAUGAUAUGCAUCAACAUCACAGUGUGUUGAAAUUGCCCCACGCUCCUCCUACAUUAUAUAGUAUAAGUAAUCGACUGUCAACAAAUUAUUACCAGUGCCUAUAUUGCUCACUUAUAAAGUUAAAUUGGACUAGACAUUAUAACAAAAAUGAUAUAUCAGACCAUUAAAACAUCUCUGACGGAGUUAUGCUUGGAAAAAAUAGAAAAUCUGGGAUGCAUCCAUUCUGUAGGGACACUUGCAGGAGGCCCCUGAUUAGCCAAACGGUGGACCUUGGAAUAAUAAAAAAUAAUACGUUAUUAAAGCGAGCAUACGUUAACUACAUAAUUUGCAUGAUUUGACAGCUUUCGGGUGCCCACCAUUACAAUUAAAGAGAAAAAAAGGUAGCUCUACUACAUGAACAAGAAGGUUUUAUUUUAACUACUAAAUGUAUGCAUACCAUUUAACUUUCAUCGAUAUCGGGAGCAACAACAUUUGGAGGGCCAUUCACUGUCUGACUCAUUGAAUGCGUCUACAAGUUUCGUAUGGGCCAAAUCAUUGUAUAAGACAAACAAAAUACGUAUAUCAUGAGGGAUGACGGCCGUAACAACAUUAUCACACAAUGUAACAUCAAUGUAACUAUUUAUGCUGUUAGAAACAUCCAAAUAAAAGCAAGAGUCAUGUCCAUUUUAUACUAACCGAAACAGAGUCAGUAGAUGAAUAGCAUCCCAUGAACAUGUAUUCCUCAAAUGAAACCGAUGUCGGCUCCGAUUCUGAGACCUACAAUAUUGACACGGCAAUAAUAUUAUUUCAUAAUGAAUGUUACCUAAACUUUAGUUAAUAGUAUAACAAUAACUUAGUUUUAGCAUAAAUGUUCCCCAGGUACCAAAAUUUGAUCCAUACCGUAGUCUGUGUAGUCCUUGAUAAUCUAGAUUUUCUUUUUACUCUGUCAAAUUUAUCGACCCAACUUCGCAUCACUCUACUUUUCUUCCCACCACCUCAUUUUUUAGUGCCUCUUGCGACUACUGCCUCCCCCAUUUCAUUUACAAUUUCAAUUUUAUCUCGUUCCUCCAUAUUCAGAUUUUUUUGAUUUUGCAAAGGUUGCUCUUCGCUUUCUGAGAGGAGGAGCUCAACUCUCUUUGACAAAUCGGAUAUGACAGUGAUUGCUACUUUGCUGGUGUCCUCCGACAUUGCUGCUCGAGUUGCGAUCUUAAUCAUGGCUGGAGCGAGCUCCCGAUAACGAGUUGAAAUCAUGACUUUAGGAUCAGCCACAACUUCCUGUCCUCGCCGAUCAAAACAGUCUCCAGCCCGAACUCUUUUUGUCCAUCGCCUCUUAAUGUAUUCAGGAGGAAUUAUUUUUAUACCCACGGUAUCAAACACCUUCAACGCGUGCCCACAUAAAAUGCCUUCAUUCUCGUAUUUUUUGCAACUGUAACGUACACUUAGAUCAUUCCGAUUGAAUACUACUGUUCUUUCAGGUCCUCCAUCAUACCUCAUGACCGCAAACUCCACAAACAUCGCUGCAUCUUGUUGUCUCAACAUAACCAUAGCUGUUGACUCGCCAUAUUCAUUUUGGAAUGCAACAAAUACGAUUGGUGAAUACGUCUCCGAUGCAUGCACAAGCAUAGGUGUUUGCCUUAACCCUACCAUGGGGAGCUUUUGCCUCAUUUCAUAUUCUGCGAUCAGUUCAUUAUGUCUCUUUUCAUCAACCACCCGAUUGAAAUGUCUAAAGAACUGCACAAGGUCAUGAUCCAGUUUCAAAUGAUUUUUAAUUGCUGCAUUUAGGCUUUCGCUAAGUUGGGUGCUUCGCAUUCCCGCGGUCCAUCUUUCUUUCAUCAUGCACCUUGCCCAUUUAUCACGAAUUCUAUACAACCCGGAGAGCCAUUCAUUAUUUUCAAGAUUGUGUUUCUUCACCAUCGCCUCCCACACCCUAUUGAAUUGUUCCACUUCUUCAAACUCAUACAUGCAGGCACCAAACAUGUAUGGAAGAUCACUAUUUUCCUUGUAAUGAUUGCCAAGAUGUUUCAUAAAAUUACGUCUUAUGUGAAACGUACAUAGACCGUGAAAUGUUUCAGGCAUGACAAUUGAAAGAGCGGCUGCCAUGGCAUGAUCUUGGUCGGUUAGUAUGGUAUUUGGAUGUUUUCCACACAUUGCUUCUAGAAAUGUACCAAACACGCAUUUGAAAGAAUCUAUCGUCUCAUCAUACAUAAGGGCAGCAUCGAAUAUCACAAUUUGCCUAUGCUGGUUAAAACCCACAAAUACUCCAAGUGGCCGGUAUUCUUUAUUUGUUUUGUAGGUUGUGUCGAAUGUGACUACGUCUCCAAAAAAGUUGUAGUCAAUUAACAUUCCUGCAUCAGCCCAAAAGAUAUUCGUUAUUUGUUCUUCACAGUCCAGCUGUACGGCAUGAAAAAAUGAUGGAUUCUCGAGUGUUUGCUCUUGAAAAUAAUUCAGCAUGCUACCUGCUUCUCCAUAUUUCAAGCUCCUUUCCCGUCUCGUUCGAAGAUAUCGUUUAAGAUCAUCCCGAGUAUAUCCCACGUUACCCAUCCCACCUGCUUCCGUUCCCAUAAGGUCAUGGCUCUGUUUCAAUGAAAGCCCAGCAUCCUCGCUUAUUUCAGCUUGGAAUCCUUGAGCCACACUCACUUUUCUUUGUGAUGGCAUCAUGUGAGCAUAUUGAGCAAUGUGCAACUCAUGAUUAUGCUCUAAGACAAGGUCAUGCACACAGUACUUCAUUGUCCCUCUAAACAACACGAUAACCAUCUUAGCUCCACACCCUGUUUUCGUCGGCGCUCGUGUCCUCUUUGGCAUCACAUCACAUUCGUACUUGCGUUUCACACCUUCCUUGCAGCAACUAUAUCUCCUAGACGUGGUCACACCGUCUUUGUCUUUAUUCAGAUAGUCUUUACAUACACUGAAACCCAUUUUAAAGGCAUACUUGUUGUAAAACUUGUACGCAUCCUCUUCACUGUUGAACUUCAUUCCUAACUCAGGGGUCCUAUUUUCUGCCAAUUUGCUGCAAUCCAUUACUUCUGCUCCUGUCAAUUAUGCAUCAAACACCCUAAUUUGUAACAUUUCAUGAAUAGUAUGUACAUAAAUGACAAUAUAAAUGUAUAUUACCAUUUAUAAUGUGUUAUGAAUCACACAUUACUCGUAUACCAAAUCCUAUUAUUACGCUUAUCAAUAUGAUUAAUGAUUCAUAUCACCUUACUUUUACUUUAAGACAACGGCAUUAUAUAUGUACAAAUAUAACUCCAUGUACACUAACUUAUACGGACUGUAAUGUAUUGGUCACACGAUGUAAGUCUAUUUUAACUGUAUGUACAUCCACGCUGGUGAUUAUAUUUUGAUUCUAGGUUCUUUAGCUCACUGGACCUUAUGUCAUUCGUUAAUGGCAACUGCAUAAACCAACUCCACAUUUUCUACUUUUUCAGGACACUUUGAGGGCCAAACAAGUACUUUCUACUCAUUGUAAUAUAUUUCUUACAUCAUGUAAUUGACUUACAACACAAGGUUCACCCAUUUAUUAUUCACAUAUGUGUCUUUUCCUCUGCUUCACCUCAUUCAACUCUACGCCUCCAUUUUAUACACACUGUAUGGUCAGGAGAGGGGCAAACUAAUAUUGCUCCAUGAGCGUGGACCAAUUACUAGAUGCACAAUAAUUCAUAUCAAUUGUAAUACGGUGGCUAUAACAUGUAACUAAUUUACAACAAGAUGUAUAUUCAUUAAUGUUAAAUGUGACUUUGUUUCUCUCAUCUUUCCCUAAUUCCAGUCGAUGGUUUACUUGAAUACAUAACCCUACUUUCUACUCAUUGUAAUAUAUUUCUUACAUCAUGUAAUUGACUUACAACACAAGGUUCACCCAUUUAUUAUUCACAUAUGUGUCUUUUCCUCUGCUUCACCUCAUUCAACUCUACGUCUCCAUUUUAUACACACUGUAUGGUCAGGAGAGGGGCAAACUAAUAUUGCUCCAUCAGCAUGGACCAAUUACUACAUGCACAAUGAUUCAUAUCAAUUGUAAUACGGUGGCUAUAACAUGUAACUAAUUUACAACAAGAUGUAUAUUCAUUAAUGUUAAAUGUGACUUUGUUUCUCUCAUCUUUCCCUAAUUCCAGUCGACGGUUUACUUGAAUACAUAACCCUAGGUCUUCCAAAAACUACUAUCCCAUUAUAGUCCAUCACUGAAAAGCUGAAUGCUCACACACACACAGAUACGGUACACACAUACAAAUACAGUACAACUUCACUAUUCUUCUAUCAUCUUCAUAUUAUGUCUUCAGUGACUCUAAUUUCAUCCUUCCUUUAACAGAUGUGCAUUUGGGUGACAAAUUAUUGGCCACAAUUAUUGACAUGGUUCAGUCAUGUUACCUUGGUCUGCUAAUACGCUUCACGUUUCACCGAAGUCGGAGACGUAGCUGCUUCUGCUAUUAAGUUGAAGGACAAAAUCUGGUUUCGUGAGAUGCUGAAUUUCCUCUAUUUGCUUCUACCUUACCGCCGCUCUUGCACGCAUUCAAAAUACAUACAACACUAUUAUACCCAAUUGGAGACCACAGCUGCUUCUGCUAUUCAGUUUUACGGACAAACUUUGGCUUCAUCUCUGUUUGCUUCUUCCAUGUCGCCUGCCUCUCCACCCACUUUUCUGUCAAUUGCUACCUUCAUCAGAGUAGACUACACCCACUUCACCUAGAAACACCCAGUAGGUUGAAUCCCACCUGAACUUCAGCUUUCUGCCUUCAGUGAGUGGUUGGUCAGAGUAGAUUACCUUCACAAUUUAAUUAUUUGGCUUCCCUCAGUUUUGUUUUCUGCGGCUAAUUCAAAAUUUCAACUUGAAUUUCAAAAACCAAUUCUCUUCCGUUUGCUCCGUCUGUUCCCGUUUGGAAGUCAACAUCUUUUUAUUUGGAACGGCAUCGUUUUUGUGCCCUGCUUCAGCCUUGCUGACUUGGCUCAUUUGUCUCCUCACGUUUUUUAUUGUGAGGAGACCGUUCAGGAGCGGUCGUCUGAGGACCGCUCCUGCCCCGUAUCCCCACUAUCAGUAUCCUAUUUAACGUACACUUUUUUUUCUGUCAUCCAUCACCGACAACUUUUGCUAUCUACCAUCAGUAUCCUGUUUAAUGUACUUUUUCCCCCAUCACUCAUCAUUCACAACUUUAGCUAUCGACCAUUGGUACCCUGUUUAAUUAUCGGAUAUUGCAAACUAUUAUUUCUUAACUAACAAUUAUUUCAAAAUUUUAAAAUGACCAAGAGGUACUUGUGAAGGACAACUUUGAUAAGUGAACCAAUGACAUAAAAACUUCAUAAUGUAUAACUAAAGCGUUAAUUAAUACCAUAUAAUAAAGAGAUGUCAUAGUAGUUCUACGUAACUCGCAUUAUGUACUAUCCUUUUAUCUAACUAUUAUCCCAAAUUUUGUCAUUAUUAACUGAAAUUAUAUCACAAAUUAUCUUUGACAGACUAAUUUCACUAGUAAAUGGUUGUGGAACUUUAUAAGAUCAUAAAAGAAUAACAUUGCUUUAAUCAUUUUUUUAGAACACAAUGAAACAAUAUACAAACUUAAGCUAAAGUAAUUUGCAGAGAAAAAGUUAGAAUCAAUGAAUCAUUAGUUUAGUACUUUCAGAUGUGAUCUUUACAUGAUUAUUGUUCUACAUCAGAAUUGCAUCAAAAUUUUAUAAAUUAGAGACUAGAUGAUUUAGCAGUUGAAAAAAAAAAUUAUCAUGGUGGUGAUGUGAAAAUAAAUUAUAAUAAUCAAAUUGAAAUUGAAGUGGUUAAAGAAAUGCAAUAAAAUGUACAAGGAUAUGACCAAUUUAGAUUUCAUAGUGAUAAUUGUACCGUUAAAAAAAAAAUUUGUGAUCAUCUUUAAAGUUUAAACUAUUUAAGAUUUUCUCAUGCAUUGAUUUACAAUUGUAUAAAACUGGAGUUCUUAAUUUUUAAGAGUUGCAUACUCUAGCAUAGAUUACAAAAUUUGCACCUCCGGACUCUUCGGACUUGCCAUUUCUUUCAAUCCUCAUACUCUCAACAGCCAUAAUCCACCCCCCCCCCCCCAAACUCCCUUCCCUCCCUCUCUCCAUCCUUUCAUUCCUGUUCCUACCACCAUUCUGAUCUGCUUUCCUCAAUUUCUUUUCUUUUCGUUGUGAUCAUUGAUUUCAUCUUUUAUUCUUGUUUGAUUGAAGUUGAGUACAAUAUCCAUUCUAGUAUUUCUCUGUACCAAAAAUUUCUUGCUUUUUUUUUGGUUGCCAUUUUUGAUUAUUUGAAGGCUGUAACAGGAUUGUUUGAUGCUCCGCGGAAUCCGACAAUAAAUCGGACUCCGCCAUGGAAGAUGAAUAGAAGAAUAUUCUCGAGGCCGGCGUCCCACCUCCGCCACAUCCGGCGAUCACUAACCACCCAUAACACAGUCGCCGCCUCCUCCGACGCCACAUUUGCGGCUGACCAGCCUCACCUGGUAAACGUCGUACUAUGGCGCUACCAAAUUCUGGACCCCAGCAGCGACAUUGUCAACUGGUGGAACCAUUUUUUCCUCAUAACUUGCCUCAUCUCUCUCUUCAUCGAUCCUCUCUAUUUCUACCUCCCCUACGUCGGUGAAAUGGCUUGCAUGACCACCGAAAACGAAGCCUCCGUCAGCAUCACCUACUACCGCACCCUCGCCGACCUCUUCUACCUCCUCCACAUUCUCUUCAAGUUCCGCACUGCCUUCGUUGCCCCUAGCUCCAGGGUCUUCGGCCGGGGCGAGCUCGUUAUGGACGCCAGACAAAUUGCCAUGCGAUAUCUCAAAUCUGAUUUCAUUGUUGAUUUUGCCGCUACUCUCCCCUUACCUCAGGCCAGUUUGUAAAAUUCCCCCAUGCAUAUUCUUUUCUUCUUCUUCUUUUUUUCUAACAAUCUUUUCGAGCAGGAUUACCAAGUUAUUAGAUGUUAGUAUGUUAGAAUAAAGAAGCUUUAGAGUUUUAGACUCUAAUUACUUCUUUGACCAUCUUAACUAUACUUUCUUGAAAAACUUGUCAAUAUUUGUGCAAGUCAAUGAUGUGCAAAAAGCUAAACAUGGUUGGCAUUAUUAAAGUACAUGUUUGAAUAUUCUUACCUAGGAUUCUACAGCUACACAGUAUCUUUUUUAAUUUCUUCACAAAUCGAAUAGUUAACUUAUAGUUGUAUGGAAAGAGUUAAUAUAUGCAUGUAUGAAUACCAAUAAAGUGCAAUUUAAAGACUUUAUUUUCUUUUUGAAAGCGAUAUGAUGCAUGCAAAGUUAAUAUGCUAAUUUAAAGAGAUGAGAAAGAGAUAAGAAAUGAGUUAACUUCUAAAUUUUAACCUGAGAUUCAAUUCCACUAUUGCCUUGGCAUAUAGGAGUAUACUUAUUUAUAUAUUUUUGGGAAAAAAAUAGAAUAGCCCGUUAAGGUUAAGUGAACAUAUGAAAAACCCCCUAGACAUACGCUCUAGCAUUUUAUGGUUUGAACUAAUUUAAAAAAGCGACAGAAAUUGUUUGAAUUAACGGAUUCAAAAUACAUGCAUUUUUUUUGCAAGUAUUUGCAUUGGAAACAAACAAUUUUUUAGUUGAUAUAUCUAUUAUAACCUUAGAGUUAUAAUAUAGAAAAGACCCCUGUGAUUAAGUAAACCUAUAGAAAAAGCUCUUAUGGUUUCAAAUCAUACAAUCCAGUAUCUCUUGAUUUGAACUAAUGUGAAAAUCAACAAAAAUCAUUUAAAUUAAUGAGUUUGAGGUUGCUUAGAACCCCUUAGAACUCAUAUUAGCUAAUAUACCUAAUAAACCCCUUAUAACUCAUAAAAUUUCAAAAACAACCAAAAACUCCCAAAUACAACUCACCUUAUUUCUAUACAUAAAAUAAAUAAAUAAAAACUUCCAAAUACAACUUAUCUUAUUCCUAUGCACAAAAUAAAUAAAUAAAAGCAACAUGAAACUAUAGGGGCCUUUUCCCUAAUUUGGUUUAAUCACAGGGGUUUUCCCGUAAGUUUGCUUAAUAGGAUGGUUGUUAGAAGAUCUUUUAUUACUUAUAUAUAUAUAUAUUAGGGUAAUUGUGUCAUUUCAUCUGUCUCCAUUAAUUUUGACAAUUUUCGUUGCUGUUUCAAAUUAGUUCAAACUAUGAGAGGUCGAAAUGUAUGAUUUGAAACCAAAAUGGAUUUUUUGGAAGGUUAGCUUAAUCACACUGGACUUUUUGUAUUUUAACCUAUAUUUUUUGAUGUAUAAGUUGUAUUUCCGACGUUGGGGAGGUGGGGAGACUCAAUUUUUUCUUGGUCCAUUACGCACUCCUUUAACAUAAAUAAGAAGCCACCUGCUUAAUUAAUGCAUUAAUUAUUUCAUAUUUUCGAAAGCUAUUUUUAAGGGAUUCGAAUGCUAAAUGGUAUACAUAACCUUUUUCCUAAAAAUAAAUAUCACAGAUCUUCUGCUAACACUUACCUUUCUACCGUCGAAAUAAUGAAUUCACCAUGGUACUAAAAGCAAUGCUUUUAACGAAAAACCACAAAAAUGGAGCCAUUAAAAUUCAUAAAACUCAUAUUUAACUCAUAUUUAGAACUACAAAAAUUUUUAACUCGUGUGUUAAAAUCUUCAAUGUUUAUGUUUUGAGAAAAUAUAUUAACGAAAAAACAAAUGCAAAAUCCAAUAAAGAAAUUAUCAUUUUAGUUGAAAAUGUUCUUGUUGAAAGUUCAACUCAUUUUACUUUUUGACAUAUUUUCACAUUAACAUCAUUAAUUUAGCUUUGGCUAGUGCUGUAAAAAGUCGCGAGAUUUGUGUUAAAUUCAUUUAUCAAAUUAAAAAAAAAAAAGAAAACCUAGUAAAUCAAGCAUAUACAAUUUGUUUAAUUAAGAGAAUUUUUUAAACAUUCACCUAAAGAGUGCUUGCUUGUUUUAUCAAUUUUUUUGAAUUUUCUUUUUUUACGUCUUAAAAAAUUUAUUAUUCUAUGUCUUCUUCCAAAAUAAAUUUAUUUUUCCUUUCAAUUUGUCAUUUUGUGGAGGAUAAAAAGUUCCAAGUUCAUAAUUGUUUUCCUCUUUUAGUUAUAAAAGUCUUAAUUUGGUUUGGUUUAGAAUUUGGGAAACUACUAUCUCUUUGUAAUUAAAAAGAAAUAAAAGUAUAAAAAUAAGUUACUUUAGCAACCUUGACAAUAUUAUGCAUCUUUUAGAUCCACAAAAAGAGUACAAAGUUGACCGCACAUUUGUGAUUCGGUUUACGAAAAUGAAUUAUUAGAUUUCUAAAUUUAUGUUGCAAAAAAAAAACUAAAGAGAAAAAGAAAAGAAUAAAAAGUGAUAAAAUUGAAGAACAAAUAGUUAAACUUUCUCCCUACCUUUGUUGGUUUAUUAAAUGGUUUUUUUCAUCAUUUGCAAAUUUCUUUCCUUGCUAGAGUUUUUCAAAACUAAAGACAUCACCCCUUAAAUGCUAAAAUUCAUCAAUUAUGGUAGUGUGUGAAACAGCUAAGAAACAGGAGCAGCAGAAAUAAGGGAAAAUCGUCCAAAACGUCCCUCACAUUUUGUAAAAUAACUUUUUUCGUCUUUCACUUUUAAAAGUAUAAUUUUAUGUCCCUUACAUAUUCACAUCGGUCAAAUUUAGUCCCUAACUAGGUUUCCGAUCAUUUUUUGGCCGGAAUCCAUCAUGUGCAAGGCACGUGAUCAUUUUUUAUGGGUAAAUUUGUCAAAUUAUAUUUUACAUAAUCUGAUCUAUAGUCCUCCACAUUUUAUAAAAUAAAUUUUUUCGUCCCUCACAUUUUAUAAAAUGAUUUUUUCAUCCCUUACAUUUCACAAAAUGAAUUUCUCCAUCCCUCACAUUUCAAAAAAAUGAAAUUUUCAUUUCUCACUAAGGGAAAAUCGUUCAAAACGUUCCUCACAUUUUGUAAAAUGACUUUUUUCGUCCCUCACUUUUAAAAGUGUAAUUUUAUGUCCCUUACAUAUUCACAUCGGUCAAAUUUAGUUCCUAACUAGCUUUCCGAUCAUUUUUUGGCCGGAAUCCAUCAUGUGCAAGGCACGUGAUCAUUUUUUAAGGGUAAAUUUGUCAAAUUAUAUUUUACAUAAUCUAAUCUAUAGUCCUCCACAUUUUAUAAAACAAAUUUUUUCGUCUCUUACAUUUUAUAAAAUAAUUUUUUCAUCCCUUAAAUUUCACAAAAUGAAUUUCUCCAUCCCUCAUGUGAGAACCCGUAUUUUUCCCAUUUACUAGGUUUUAUUAUUUUCCAUGGCUUGUUUUCUGCAUUUUCGUGAUUAGGAAAAAUUUCUAGAUACUUUUAAGUAGCAGAUAUAAUUUUUAGAUGAUUUUUCUAGUAUCGAAUAGGUUUUGAGAAAUUAAGAGCGUAUACCGGACGUGGGACCCAAUAGUGCAAAAAGUUCGAAAAAAUUCGGUCAACUAGGUUAAGUUUUGGAUACUGGAAUUAAUUUAUCGGGUGUUAAGAGAUAAUUAGAGGAGGUUAAGUGGGUUGGUAUAAGAGAGACAAGAUAGGUAAGCAUUUAAUAAAAGGCGACAAGUGUCGCCAUUUGAGUGGGUUUACCUUUAAGACCACUGUUCAUGGUUUUACCAAUUGACUAACUAAAUCAAAAACCAACCAAAAUUUCUCCAUUUCUCUUCCCUUGUUGGCCGGCCCUCUCUCUCAAAAAAAGAAAGGAAGAAACUCUUCAAGUUUUGCUUCCAUCUAGCUCAAAUCCAUCCAACCAACCAUUGAAACUUGCAAUUUCUCCAUAAAACAUCUUCAAGUAGUGUUAGUUGAUUUGUGGAGUUAUUUGGAAAGCUAAGAGGACCUAUUGCUCUCUCUCUCUUGUUUCUAAGGUGAGUGGUGAAGAACUACUCUCCUCCCUUUAUUGAUACUUAAAUCAUGCUUAGUGGUAGUAUGAGAUGCUAUUUUAUGGAUUAUAUUUUGAGUUGUGGUUGAAUUGAUGAACUUUUAUAAAUUUUUGGGGAUUUUUCUGUUUUAAUAUGAACAUGAUUGUGUGGCUAUCUAUGAUGAUUGGAAAGGGUAUGUAAUGACUCUAGGAAGUGGAAAAAGUGAUUAAUUACAACCAAUUUCUGGUUUGGAAGAAAUUUCAGAAAAUUAGGGUUUUAGUGGGAACAUUCUGCCCGAAUUUAUAGCUCCUAGUUAGAAGCCGAAUUGGCCUUGACUUAAAACAUAAAAGUUGUUGGGAAUGACAUUUUAGAGGUGCCUACAAAAUUUCAGGUCAAUCGGAGUAGUGUAGAAUGAGAAAAGUCGAAAUUACUAUUGCUGUUCUGGUUUUACCCGAAUGUAAGAAUUGCGCCUGUAAUUGGUUGUUUUGGCUGGAAUUGCUUCCUAAUUGGUUGUUGAGGUCUUUUGAUGAAAUGUAGCCCUGUUUCUUAGCUUUCAUCAGGCUUUGGAAUUUCUGGAUUUGGACUUAAGUAGGCUGAGUUAUGAUAUUUACACCAGAAUGCGUUUUGUGAAUCUGUUUUACGUUUUUGGUGUAGUAUCUUGCAUUUUUGACAUGGUUGCACUCAAAACUGGGUUGAGUGACCUUCUGUAAUGUUAUAGCCCUGUCUUUUAGCUUCGAAACGGUGUAUCUAACACCUUCAUCCGGUAAUCAUAGUGAAAUUGGUGCCAUUACCGCAAAAUGAGGUUAAAAACUGUUUUUUUCAGGGCCAAAGCUAAUUGCCUUUCCGAAUUUUCUGGUUUCCUCUAUUGUUUGUGUAUGCUUAGGGAACCCUAUUUUGGUAGUAUUUAGAAUUAGUUUAUGACUUAUAAUCGAGUCUUAUUGUGUUUAUUUGAAUAGUUUAGGGCUUGACUUUCAUAUCCGGUCAUUUCCUAGCUAAAUUUUGGACUUGAAUGCCAUUAAGCCUAGUGAACGGCUUUUGGGAAUGAGAUUAUUUUUGUACGAGAUGUUGGGACUGAUUGGAAGACAUAAUGAAGCCAUAAUGGCUGGAAAAUAGGUAAAAACAAGGGAUAUGCUGCCGAAAUUUUUCUUGAAGGCUAGUUGGAUUUACUUGUGAUUUGAACGAAAGGCUUUUGGGUUGUUUGAGCCUAGGUCUUCCUGUUACCUUUUCGUUACCAAAAAUCAUGUUUUGCACCCUUGCUUUAGUAAUUAUUUGGCGAGGUAUACGACUGGUAGUCGAGCCUCACAUGUGCAUUCUGUAUACUCGAUUUUGAAAGUGGAACCUUCAAUUGUUUUCCUUGGAUUAUUUUAGGGUUUCUUGGUGAUUAAAGCUCUCUUUUGGGAGGUAUCUGCACUGACCCUGGUGAGUGUACUACUCACUUUUGUGUUACUAUAUGGCUUUGAAUGUAAAUUGCUUGAAGUGAAUUGAAUGUGACUUGAUUGAAGUGAAAGUGUACUUUAUCACUCUCACUUAUAUGCCUUAUAUCAUUGUUGUCAUGUUAAUGGAAUGUUACAUGAAAUGUUACAUGAAAUGAAAGUACUUGACUUGGUGUCGAUUGGACGAGUAUCCAACGACUACAAAUGUUAUCAUUGAGCUCAACCCCAUUGGUAGUUGAUUGAAUCGAGCCGGCGAGGGUUUGGUCGUGCCAAUUAUUGAAUCUUGGGUAAAGUUAUAUGGAAUCUUGUAGUAUGCGAGACUCUCGAUUCCGGUAUACUCGAGUAAUACCAAAGUGCAAGUGUUUGGAUUUCUGGCCCGAUAGGGAGGAUGUUAGGUGGAAGGAGUGGAAGUAAAGUGGAGUCUACGGUUGGUUACUUUUGAACAUUGACGGAGAGUCAAUGACGUCCGAUCAAGAAAUGCAAACGAGGAAAGGGCUCUUGAGAGCCAUUUGUAUCCUUUUAUCACCAUAUUUGACGUGUGCCUUUGCUUAUUUUUACUAUAUUGAAUGAAAGCUUGAUGCUUAUAUGCACUUGAUUGCGUAAGUGAUAGUAUCUCACUGGGCAAUUAGCUCACACCGUUCCUUUUAUUUUCCUUACAGAAAUAUGACUCUUUUUGAAAUAAAUCUUGAUAGAUGGUUGUCGAAUGAACUAGAUGUAUAUCUCUUUUGUAUUGUAUAUGAAGUGAAACCCUAAAUGUAUUUUUAGGGCCGUUUUCACUUUCAAUUUGGCAAACCGUGUAUAUAUUAACUUUUGAAAACUUUUGUAUGUCACUUUGGGUUGUAAUUGCUAAAGUUCAAGGUGUGAAUAUUUGUUUUGAUAUUUGGUUGCGUUCUGACGGGUCGGUUACUAUUCAUGGCCGACUCCGAAUUUCAUUUUUUUUUAUUUUGGGUUAUUUUGCCCUUUUGCCUUGUUUACGCGUGUUAUAAGUUUCGGAACACAAUAGAUCGCUCUAAACUGCUCCGUUAGUCCUGGCGAGAGUUGAGCAGGCAGUCCGCUAACCCCUUUGGUUCGCCUUAGGGGAAGGUGGGGCUGUCACACCUCACAUUUCAAAAAAUGAAUAUUUUCAUCCCUCACUAAUUAUGUGUGUGAGGGAAACCCUAAAAAAAAUGUGUGUGAAUACAUUUUGUUUAAACACAUGUAUAUGUCUAUUUGAUUUUGCUUAAUAAUACGAAUAGCAUAAAUAUAUGUAUGUGUCUAUUUGAUUUCUCUUAACAAUAUGAAUACCAUAUAUUGUACGUAAUCAUUUGAUUUCAUUUGGUAUUAGCUAGUAAAAAAUCUUGUAUUCAUUGUCAAGUUGGCCAAUAAAGUUAUUUUCAAUCAAAAUACAAUAAGAAUAUGCAAAUUAGGGUUCUAUUGGUAAAUAUUAGUCAUAAUCAUACAAAAAGAGAAGAUAGCCACAAGUUGGGCCCAAUUACAUACAUGUGUUUAUGCUAUUAUUAUUAAGCAAAAUCAAAUAGACAUAUAUAUGUGUUUAAAAAAAAUGUAUUCACACACAUAAUUUGUGAGAGGAAAAAUCGUCCAAAACGUCCCUUACAUUUUGUAAAAUAACUUUUUUCGUCUCUCACUUUUAAAAGUAUAAUUUUAUGUCCCUUACAUAUUCACAUCGGUCAAAUUUAGUCCCUAACUAGGUUUCCGAUCAUUUUUUGGCCGGAAUCCAUCAUAUGUAAGACACGUGAUCAUUUUUUAAGGAUAAAUUUGUCAAAUUAUAUUUUACAUAAUCUGAUCUAUAGUCCUUCACAUUUUAUAAAAUAAAUUUUUUCGUCCCUCACAUUUUAUAAAAUAAAUUUUUCAUCCCUCACAUUUUACAAAAUGAAUUUCUCCAUCCCUUACAUUUCAAAAAAUGAAUUUUUCAUUUCUCACUAAUUAUGUGUGUGAAUACAUUUUUUUUAAACACAUGUAUAUGUCUAUUUGAUUUUGCUUAAUAAUAAUAGCAUAAACACAUGUAUGUAAUUGGGCCCAACUUGUGGGCUACCUUCUCUUUUUAUAUGAUUAUGACUAAUAUUUACCAAUAGAACCUUAAUUUGCAUAUUCUUAUUAUAUUUUGACCGAAAAUAGCUUUAUUGGCCAACUUGACAAUGAAUGCAAGAUUUUUUACUAGCUAAUACCAGAUGAAAUCAAAUGAUCACGUAUAAUAUAUGGUAUUCAUAUUGUUAAGUGAAAUCAAAUAGACAUAUACAUAUAUUUAUGCUAUUCGUAUUAUUAAGCAAAAUCAAAUAGACAUAUACAUGUGUUUAAACAAAAAUGUAUUCACACACAUUUUUUUUAGGGUUUCCCUCACACACGUAAUUAGUGAGGGAUGGAAAUAUUCAUUUUUUGAAAUGUGAGGGAUGGAGAAAUUCAUUUUGUGAAAUGUGAGGGAUGAAAAAAUCAUUUUAUAAAAUGUGAGGGACGAAAAAAUUUGUUUUAUAAAAUGUGGAUGACUAUAGAUUAGAUUAUGUAAAAUAUAAUUUGACAAAUUUACCCUAAAAAAUGAUCACAUGCCUUGCAUGUGAUGGAUUCCGGCAAAAAAAUGAUCGAAAACCUAGUUAGGGACUAAAUUUGACCGAUGUGAAUAUGUAAGGAACAUAAAAUUACACUUUUAAAAGUGAGGGGUGAAAAAAGUCAUUUUACAAAAUGUGAGGGACGUUUUGGACGAUUUUCCCCAAAAAUAAUUAAGGCAAAUAAAAGUUAUCAUAGACAAAGAGGAAGACGGAUGUUAUAUACUGAACAAGCUACUUAAGUUGGAGAAAGCUUGAGAAGCUAACCUCCAAAAACAAGGGGUAAGAAGCAUUUAAAAGUUCAUCAAAUUAGUUUAUUGGAAAUAUAGUUACCAAGUUGUUAGAUGUUAGAAUAAAGGUACAUUAGAAAGAAAACAUAAACAGAAUAAAUAUUUUUUCUUUCAACGCCAAUAAAUUAGUUUCACGUACACUAUUUAUCAGCAUGAAUGAAUAGUUGGAUGAAAAAUGUAUGGCGCAAAUUCAAUUUUACUUGCCUUAUUUUUAGAUUAUACCAAUUCAAAUAUUAUAGGCUGAUUACCUCGAAACCUAGUUUAAUAUUUUAUUUGGUUAUUAAUGGAAAUCAAAUAGAUUUAGGUUCUUAGUAUGACUUUUGUUAAUGUUUUCUAUCCUUAACGAAAAAAAAAUCAUUCUUAGUGAGAGUUAUAUUGCAAAUUCACACAAAGCAUUCAUUAUAUGGAAAAAAAAUCUGCUUAGAAAUAAAAAGUGCAUUUAAAAGAACAAAUUGAGAAGACUAAGAAAUUCUUGUUGGAGUGUUGGUUGUAGUAUUUCCUUUUCUUUUUUACCCCCAAUAACAAGUCAACGCAUUGAGAGGAUCAAUCUUUACGUGAUCUUCGCGCAAGGCUACACAAUUGUUCAAUCAAAGUUUGAAUAUUAUUCUUCACAAGCACAAACUUUAAUUCAUUAGGGCAGAUAUUUGUGCCACAUGAGAUGUAUGAAGUAUACAACUAAAAAUUAAUUGGAAGUGUAAUCAAAAGAUAAAGGUCAAUUUUUUUGUAUUUUUUUUUAAAGAAAAGGCAAAUGUCACGGAUUUAAUCAAAUUUUAGAAUGCCAUUUGUAAUGUAAUUGAUUUUUCCCAAAAAAAAAAUAAUUAAAUCAAUUAGCUCUAAGCAGUAAGCUUUUCCGCUAUCUUUUGUUGGUUGACGAAAUCUGCAUUCUGGAGAGCAAAAGGAAUUUCACAACCUUUUUCUUUGCCAAAAAAAAAAAAAAAAAAGUAGUACUGAGAAGGAAGGAAAUUGACAAUAUAAAACCAUAAAACUUAAGCUCCAAUUUUUUUAUUGGUAAUAUUUGAGAUUUUUUGAAUAUUAAUUUUGUGUACUGAUGUUUGUUAAUAUUUACUAAUUUUUAGUGGUUUUUUUUCCAAUUUCUUCACUCACCAUAAAGAAAAAGAUCAAAUAAAUAGGUCUUUAACUCAUUUUGCUAUAUCUUUUCCCUUCCUUUCUUUUACUUCCCAUUCUAGACAAUAUAUACAGAGAUUCCUUUCUUUUUCUACUUUUCCUUCUUUUUUUCCAUUGAAGUCCUCUCCUUCCCACUGGGUUCAUUUCCUUCAAUUCAAAGGAUGCCCAAGUGAUAUGCACACAUUUUUUUCCAUCUUAGAGGAUUACAAGCCUACUACACCUUACAUUUUCAAGAAGUUUUCAGCAUACUGGUUUCCAACUAUGAAAGUUCUUUCCUUGGAUAACAUCCUCGCGAUCAAGUAAAAGGAUUUUUCUAAGGAGUAUUUGGAGAAGUAUUGGUUAAUAAUAUAGUUAUAUUACACAUAACUUAUUAUGUGAAUACACACACUCAUAUUUACCCUCUCGUGCAUUUAAAUACUUUCCAAAAACUCGAAAUUAUCCUAACAAAUGUCCUAGAACACUUGUUAGCCAAACUUCAUGUUAAGUUACCAAGUUAGAUUAGUUCAAAAAUUUAACAAAUAUACUUUAAUAAAUAUAACGGUGGAAUAACAAACACAAUGAUAAUCAAGUAGCAAAUUCUCUCUCUCUCUCUCUACAAAUUUCUUCAGUUUGCUCUACGUUUCAUGGCUGCCCUUCAGCCGUCGGCUGAGGGGCAAGGAUCUCCUACAAAAAAAAAAUCUUUCUCCCAACUUUUUUCACAACCUUCAACAUCAUUUAUCCCAAUUCGGCCAGCGACUGUCUACAAAGGUGAAGCUGCAGUCAUUUUCUCCAGAGCAGAUGCAGAAAAACUUUCGGAGCCGUUUAGAUGGUCUUUAGUUGGAAAAUUCUCUCAUGGGAGACCUUCUUUAGAAGAUAUUCGCAAGUUCUUUGCUUCAUUAAACCUAAAAGACCACAUUUUCAUUGGCUUGAUGGAUUACAGGCAUGUUCUGAUCAAGUGCUCCGCUGAAGCAGAUUUUAACAGGAUUUGGACGAGAGGGAUUUGGCAAUUAGGCAAAUUUCCAAUGCGUGUAUUUCGAUGGUCCCGGGAAUUUCAUGUGCUCAGAGAAUCCUCUCUGGUACCAGUUUGGGUUGAACUUCCAAAUUUACCUAUCCAUUUUUUUGAUAAACAUUCGUUGUUUUCCAUAUUAUCUCCAGUAGGAAGACCAUUGUUUUUGGAUUCGGCAACGGCUGCUGGGACGCGUCCUAGUGUGGCAAGGGUAUGCGUGGAGAUUGAUGUAGCAAAGCCUGUUUUAUCGAGAAUCUGGGUGGCGGUUGAAGGAGAAACCGGCUUUUGGCAAACGAUUGUACCAAAUGAUAUGCCAAGCUAUUGUUCAUCUUGCUGGAGAUUGGGUCAUUCAUCUGAAAAUUGCAAGAAGAACUUCAUCGAUGGUGGACAUCAACACCAAAACAAUCAAACCAAAAGGCCUAAGCAUGGUUCAAAGCUAUCUGGAAAUACUCAACAUAAAUUAGUCAUUACAAAUGAAUGCAAUGACUCAGAAGCUAAAGAAAAAAUAUCAAAAGAGGGUACAACAGCUCCUGAACAAAUGCAAAUUUCUGGUGAGACAAAAGACGAAGGAAUUACAACAGCUGUAACAAAAGAAUCUGAGGGAACUGCUGACAAAUGCAACACUGAAGCCAUAGGGAAAGCAUCAACGGAAUUCAAGUCAGCUACUGAAGAGGUGCGACUUCCGGGAGUAAUUGAAAUUGAAGGAACGUCAAUAGGUGCAAUGGAGCAGUCUGGAACACCUGAGCAAAACGAUGCAGUUGCCGACGCCUAUGCGGUCAAGGAGGGAAAAAAAACAGUAGCUUCAAAUACUGAUGCACAUCCACAGUCGGUUGCUGAUGUCGUCAUGCAUGUCCAUAAGGAGCAUUCGGUCAUGGAAGACCAAUUGACAGUUUGCUAUGGAAAUGAUUGUGAGGGGCCACAAAUUCUCAGGAAACAUAACGUGGGAAUGGUUCAGCAUCAAAUGAUCAAUACCACAAGCAAAAUUAACCAACAGCCCGACAAUUCCAAUGGGAAUAAUUCAUCGGGGCCCCAGCUUAUUGAGGAGCAUAACUUGGGAUUAGUUUAUCAUGAAAGGUCCGACACCACUGAGAUAGAUAAUCUCUAUGUCGAAUUGCGUGGAGCUGAUGAUGAAGAUUCCAAAUCCAAUGCGGUUGAUGAAGUAGCUUUGCCAACUAACGUAGGAAAUCUAUCUCCGAGAUUGGUUAUACCACGUGAGAAGUCGGCUGAGCCAUCAAUACACACUCUAAACAUUGACCAAUCUGUAGGUGUUCAAAUGGAUUGCCGACAAGAUCGUGCUAAGGGUGUGCGAGCUGGCUUCCCAUCCGACAGACAGCUACGUUCAGCAACAUCAUCUCAAAACUCUUUCCAGGUUUUUUCUCAUGAUUAGUGGUUUAUUUUGGAAUAUCAGAGGGGUGGCUAAAGCCCCUAAUCUAAGAAGAUUGAUAAAUUUAGUUCGUGCUCACCAUUUGAAGUUUGUUGUCAUUUGUGAACCAAAGUCAGACGUGUCCAAAAUUGAGUCCAUUCGACUACGAUUAUUAUUUGAUUAUUCAUUUGUUAACUUAUCGGGUGAUAUUUGGAUAUUCUAUAGUAGCCCUUUUGUGUGUUCCAUUACUGGUAGUUCGGAUCAGCAUAUUUCCAUACAGGUUCAAAGUCAAUUGUUUUCUUCUCCAAUCAUCAUGUCUUUUGUCCAUGCUAAAUGUUCAUUAGAGGAGCGGUGUGGCUUAUGGUGUUCAUUAUUAAAUGAUAAGCCUGUUUCACUACCUUGGUGUAUUGGGGGGGACUUUAAUGUUAUUUUAGCCCCUCACGAAAAACGAGGUGGACGUCCGUUUGCUAUAGCGGAAGGAGCGGAUUUCAUGUCUUUUAUGGAAGAGGCAGGGGUUUUGGAUGUCGGCUUUUCAGGAGCUAGUUUCACAUGGUCUAAUAAUCGGAGAGGUAGAGCUCGGGUUUCAAAGAGAUUGGAUAGAUUCUUAAUUAAUGGGUCUUGUUUGGAUUUCUCAGACGUGAUUUCUGUACUCCAUCUCCCAAGACAUCCCUCGGAUCAUGCACCAUUGAAAAUUACUUUUUCUGAUCGAUCAGACAAUAGUCCACGACCUUUCAGAUUUUUGAAUGUCUGGACGACCAAACCACAACUAUUGGAUGUGAUUCGACAGGCUUGGAAUCAAGAUGUGAGUGGAUCUCCGCUACGUGUUUUGUGCUCUAAAUUAUUGGCAACGAGGAGGGCUAUUCAUACAUGGAACAAGCAACAUUUUGGGAAUAUAUUUGAUGCUGUACGUUCGGCGGAAGAGGUGGUCAAACAAGCAGAAGAAUCGAUGGAUCAAUAUGCAUCGGAGGAAUUUCAGGUUGAGCUCAGUAAGGCUCAGGCAGAGUUGCGGAAUGCAUUGUCAAUAGAAGAGCAAUUUUGGAGCCAAAAAGCCAGGGCAAAAUGGCUUACACAGGGAGAUCGCAAUUCAAAAUAUUUCCAUGCGGUCGUAAGACAGAGACGGAUUAAAGGAAUGAUACACCGUAUAAAAAAGUCAAACGGAGUUUGGGUGGACACCAAUGCUGAUAUAGCAACUGAGGCCAUAUCAUAUUUCUCUGAUCUCUUCACUGGCUAUCUUGAGUCAUCUUCUGGUAUGCGACAUAUGAUCCCGCACAUGAUAUCGGAAGAGGAAAAUAGAAAAUUGGAAGAAGUGCCUUCGAUUGAAGAGAUUCAUCGAGUUCUCAAGUCAAUGGAUGGGGAUAGUGCUGCUGGCCCCGAUGGCUUCACAGGCAAAUUUUUUACAUUUGCCUGGGAAAUUAUUGCCCAAGAUGUCUACAAGGGAAUUCUCAGCUUUUUCUGUGGGGCAGAGUUGCCUCGAUUUAUCACUUCUACCUCAAUUGUAUUAAUUCCAAAAAACCCAAAUCCUCAGGAAUUUUCUCAUUACAGGCCAAUCAGUCUGUGUAACUUCUUCAACAAGUUGUUAUCCAGGAUCUUAGCUGAUAGAGUGGCUUCUCUUUUGCCCAAAAUCAUUUCGCCCCAGCAGACAGGCUUUGUAAAGGGCCGUAAUAUAACAGAAAAUUUUUUGCUAGCACAGGAGGUAGUGUCGGGUAUUGGGAAAAAGACUAGAGGUGGUAAUGUGGUAAUGAAGUUGGACAUGUCUAAGGCAUAUGACCGAGUGUCAUGGGAUCAUAUCAUUGGUGUUCUCAGGAGAUUUGGCUUUGGAGAAAGAUUCAUUGAUUUGGUUUGGCGAUUGAUCUCUAAUGUUUGGUUUUCCAUCAUUAUAAAUGGGGCAUCACAUGGUUUCUUCAAAUCUACACGAGGCCUACGUCAGGGUGAUCCAUUAUCACCUGCCUUAUUCAUCAUAGGAGCUGAGGUGUUAUCUAGAGGAUUGAAUAAUCUUGCUAUGCAACCGGGGUUUGUGGGUUUCAAAGUCCCCUGUAUAAGCUUUCACUGGCCUGUACUAGUAUAUAUAUAUAGUCCUGUUACCUUCUAAUAUGUACAGUGAUUUACAAAAAAAAACAUAGGAACAGCUGAGGAUUCAAAGAGCCUUCUGGUCAAGUCUCUCAUUCCAGUUCAAGCAACGAAUUAAGCUAUGAAACCAGUCACCAGUCUGGUCACACUUGUUCACAGUUGGAAGUGGAUGCUGGCUCAUUGAUAUUCGGACAGAAUCUCCUCUUGAUAAUUGUUGCCUUCUCUUUCCAUCAAAAGAAACCCAAGCAUUACUACGUGCAUCCUCAGGAAUCUGCAAGAUGGAAAGAAGAUUUUGAAGGAAUUGUUCAGAAACCGAAACCAGAAUCAAGUUUCACAAAGAAGGGCUAUCCCAAACAUCUGGUAACUUCUACACUUCGUUCUUCCUAACAAGUGACACUCUUCAAUUCUAUUUUCUUUUUUUUUUUUGGGCCUCUGACAAUUGCUGGAUUUGAAGGUUUUGCUGACUAGUACUCCUAAUCACUACAGGAAUUCAAGUGAAGCAUCCCAGUUCAAGAAGGUGACUGUGUUAUAUGUCAGAUCUAAAGGACCACUUACUGCUGUCCAUUUACCAGACUUUACAUUUCUGAUGACACAUAGACUUGCAGCUGAAAUUCAAAUGUACAAUGAACACACUAAGACAGUCCCCUUCUUGUAGCACUUCUAAAGUUCUUAAAGACCAAAGAACCUAUUCACGCCAACAUCAUCAGAUCUGUUUUGGAAGAAUAUAAUGUCAAAGCAAUUGAUACAACUCCUUUGGCACAUUGAACGUUGAUAAUGUUGCUAAAACGCCAUUGUCUAAAACUUAUUUCUAGAGCUCCCAGACCAACAAACAUGAAGACCCAAGAGAGCCGAAAUAUUAUAAUUGCAUUCCAUCAUGCAAAACUAAGAAUUAACCACAUUCAACAGAGAAUCAAUAAAGAAUAAAUCUGUUUUCCACCAGCUAUUGAACUUUUCAUAAAAACUAAAAGUUAUAAAUAUCACCUUUAGUUCAAGCCGGGCAGAGUCUGGAAGUAUGACAGGUCUAAAUGAGAGGGAGUGGGGCAAAUUGGAGUGAAAAGCAUGCAUGGAACAUUUGGAUGCACCUGCAAUGGAAGCACCAUUUGUUACAGGCAAUGGUCUAUUAUGUGUUAAGCAGAAUAAUCAAAAUUAGGAAACAGCAUGAGAUUAAAAAAUCUCAGUUUCAUCACUUGUGGUUUAUCUUUCCAUCAUUGAUUGUAUGAUUAUCACUCACACAUCACAAAUCAGAUGACAUAAAAACCAAGGAAAAUAUACAAGACCAUUAAUAGAUAUCCUCAAAGAAAGUAGAUCAAAGAAAACUUGGAAGAAUAGACAUCAGCAUAUGAGGAAAAAACCACAGGUUCUGAUUACAAGGUAAAAUCACAGUUGACCAUGCAGACUGAGUGUUCACUGGUAGUUACUCUUUUACUGCUCGCCGCUAUGUGGUCUAAGCUCUCAUCUCUCAUGUUCAUUGUUCGUGACGAUGCAAUUAGCCAGCCUUCCUAAGAAGAUGUUAGAAGUCUAACUUGUUGACAUCAACCAAAAGAAAACUAUAUAUUCUGAUAUUUCGAAUAUAUUUCUCUGCUUCUUGCUUCAAGUCUCUUGUAGCAGGGAAAUCUAUUGACACGUACUGUGUCCUUGAGAUAUUGAAGCAUUCCAUAUUCUGUCUGUUUCUAGUUUCUCUUUGUUGAUUUGUCAUUUAAAGCUCUGCAUUUUUUUUCCCAAACAUAAAGUUAAGAAAUUUUGUUUGACACUCAUGCUUCUGCUAAGAAUUGUGCCUCUCAGAAUGUAAUUAUCUCACAUGCCAAAAAAUGAAAAAUGAAUUUAGAUGUUGAAAAUCCUACUCUGCUUCUAAGGAAGAUGCACAUACACUGAUAUUACAAUCAUUGAACAUAAACAACAUAGUCAAGUAAAGACAACUUGACAAAGGCUAGGGAAUACGAAAACUAGUACAAAUUUGAUGCUCAAAUUGAUUGGCCUUGCAGGUCAUAGACAGCAUAAUUUGUGAUUCCAGUCACAACAAUCUAAACAUUUGAACAACUGAUACAAGCAGACUGCUCAAAUUGGUCCCUUAAUUCAACUUUGCAUAUCAAAGCCAACUUGCAGUUUUUGACGUUAUUGCAGAUCUCAAAAAGUUUCCACAGCAACCCCCUCCCCUUCCCCCCCCCCCUCUCUGAAGUCCAAAAUAAAAGGUGAAGACCCCUGCUCUAGGCAAUGGCCUGAAUAAGAUAAGAACCUUAAAAGUCUGUAGGGUUACCGCUCCUGCACUUGCUCUCAGUCUGCAAACUGUUUCCCACGAAGAAUAGCAAAUUUGAGCAAAUCAGCUAAGAAAUCCUUGCAUUUCAACUUUCAUACAAAACCUAGUAAUCAUCAAACCUUCUAAGAUCCCUUCCAAUAGUCAGAUUAACCUCAAACAUCUAGUAAAACCUUUCAGAAACCCCAUCCCUUGGAAAAUUCUUACAGAAAGUCUGUCCUCAAGUGUAAUUUUGUUAAUCUUUAUUAGCUCAUUUGUAAUUUCCCAGAACUGUAAACCAGCAUCAGUUGAUCAUUCAAAUCAAAAUAGGCUGUCCAAACACACCUGAAGUUAACAUACAACAUGUAAGAAAGGACCCCAAGUGUAGGGAGGCAACUGCCUUGGUAGGUUAGGGGCAGCAGUAAACGCUUUAUCGUUAUUUUACUCAGCUUCAAAAAGCCCUUGAAACUCUUUUUCAAAUUUUUUUUUUUUAAGUUUCUCAAUUAGUUUAGUGGAAAAAAAUUGUAUUUAUUUAAAGCAAGGAAUUGAGGGAAAUUUAAAACAUUUGUGGUUCUGGCUCCACCCUCCUUCAGACUAACAAUCAGCAUUGUAAUUCUUUGACUUGAAGAUGAUGUGCACCGGUACAAUAAUUGUCAUUUUCAAAUAUCCUAAGUUUAAUGACAAUUGCACACGCAAAAGUUUCAUUACAAAGUUUGACCUUGAUUUCAACCAUUGGGGACAUAUAUUUACUCAUUCUGUACCGACAUAUAUGCACUCAUUCUGUACCUAGAUGAUUUUAAGUUCUCAAGCAAAUCUCCCUUGGAUGGACAAAAACAUAUGCUAAUAACUAAUGACCCCACUGUUUCCCCCACCCCCCCCCAAAGGGCCCUCUUCCAGUCCCACCUCUGAAACCAUUUCUUUUGAAUUUCUACAUCAACAGGUUCAUAUCUUUGCAUUCAAGUACAAGCAAGCCUUACCAUUGAACCCCAGCAGCUGUAGAGUAAGCAGUACUUCCUGUGGUGUGGCCACUAUAACCCCAUCACCUUGCACCUAUCGAAUUAGUAGAAACAUCAAAGUUUUCAAGAAUUUCUGGCCUCAAAAAAUCACUCAAGACUGAAGUUUUAGAAAAUGUACCUUUGUUAUAAGCCGGUCAUGUUCAUAGCAUUCAAUUUUUGAUAGAUAUGGAUUAGAACCACGAUCAACUACCACUUCAUUGAGGACAUCGAACAGUUUUCCUGGCAUUGCUUUUCCAUUUCGAAAAAUCUCACAGCGAAGACGCAUUCGAAGAGUUAUAUAAACACCAUCCACUGUGUUGUUACCAUUAAUGACUUGUCUUAGGUCCUUCUUACAAUCUUCAAACUGAAUAAAAUGAAUAAGGAAUCACAUAAAAGCUCCCAUGCAGAAGAUUAUAUUGAAAAGAUAAGUCAAGAGACGUACAGUAUGAGAAGUAAGAAAUCCAAGAGACCCAAGAUUAAAUGAGACGACAGGAGGAACGGCAUCUCUGAAUAUAUUUGAUGCAUGAAGAAUAACACCAUCUCCUCCCAAACAGGCAACAAAAUCAACCCUCUCAUGAAGAUCACUGAAAGAAAAAUUCCAUGUAAGGAUAGCACACCUCUAAAUGUAGAAUUGAUUGCAUUUAUUGAAAACAUAUGCAUCUCUACUAAACAUAAAUAAAUGCACAAAAUAAAAGCCAUAGCAUCAAUAGUCAGUUCUUGUACCUUGUAUCUUGGCUAUAGAAAGUCUGAACAAACCCAAAACCAGGGAUUCGAGCGAAAAUGUCAUGCACCUCAGGUUCAACAAGAACAUUCAUUUCUUCUUGGUAAUACAAGAAACGGGCAACCUGCAGUAAAAACAUAUAAUACUGCUGAAAAGGCUGCAGACUAAAGAAAUGAAAUUACACACGUGCAAGUAAACCCUCCCCCCCUCCCCCCCCCUUCUUCUGAUAGAGGAGUGGAAGGAAAAAAGAAAAUGUGACCCUCGGUUGCCAAAGAAGUCAGAUGUGUAAUAUUCAAUAUGCAAAACCAUGUUUUGACGUUUUAGUACAUCCAACAAGAAAUCAUUCUCUGCAAUCUGCAAGGGCAACACGCAUGCAUACAUGCAGCAAAUAUGAAGAAUCAUGUAUGAUAUCAGAAGCAGUCAAGCUAGAAUCAAGGCCAGUAGAAGAGAAACAAAAAUGCACUUGGGUCUCACUAUCUUUGCUGCAGAUGGUAGACAGAGAAUUGAAUUUCUCAUGACUACUUUCUAUAAAGCUAACAACCAAGAGAUGUGGAACAGUAAGAAUCCACAAAUUUGAUGUAUAAAAUCUCACGGCAAUAUUAGGAGCAAAAGUAGCAUAAACAAAUAAUUAAAUCAGUUUUAGCUACAUAAUCCAUAUUGAAUGUGGUAACGAGUAC